CGAAGCCGUCGCAUCGGGAGUGAUCAAUGAAGGACUGGGAAGAGGAGGAGGCUCAGGAAGGGCGAUGUCAGAGCAAUCGUGAGAUUGAACGGAUCUUACGGUCUCUGUGACAGAGAUCACACCGGCACCGGAGGAUCCGGUUCGGGCCAAGCAGGAUCGGCUUGAAGAAAUGAGUAGCAGAAUGUAACCGAUCCUGAAUCGCGGCUGGUCGGUGAGUGAUAAAGAAAAAUAUUUUUUAUAUAAUAGUCGAUAUUUUAGUAAUAAUCAAUGCGAUUUACUUAGUAGACAUAAAUAUUUUAACAUUUGUAGAAUAUAAUAAUACUCUUGAGGCAUGAUUUGAUGCAUGAUCCUGAGACUGAUUUUCAACGACAAUUAUAUGUCGCGAAAUUUAUACGUACUUGUAUUUCGCUUGUAUUCUAUUCUUCGCUAACGGAUCCGGUCGUUGACAGAGGAGAUGAGGGCUUAUUAAUUUUCGUCUGGUGAAGUGAAGGAUUGUCGUGUAACAGAAGGCGCUCCUCGCGAGUUUCGAAGAACGGCAUUGUUUCAGCGCUGCGGCGGUGAAUGAGGCGUGAAUAAUUAAUUAGAUCAAUAACAAUCUAAUGGGGAGUGCUCGGCUAUUACGUUCGUCGUGCAACGUCGCCGAGACUGGGUACCUCGCAACGCGCUCUACGGCUUAAUUCAUGUUCGUUGACGGUGUGGCGGCGGUGCCGCCAGAUAAUAAGAAUAAUGUCCCGUGAUUAUAGACCAGCCCUCGUGGUAUCGCUUUGUUGCCGUCUUAUCAGCGGGGUAUGAAAACUCUUGGUCGUUCCUUCUAGCGGUAACUUAUCAUAAUCGCGCGGCCUUCGUAUGCAAAGGCACCCUGGCUUUUUGCGCGAAAAAUUCGCGCAGGUAACUUUAUGACAA
This is a long non-coding RNA of Ooceraea biroi (clonal raider ant), 903 nucleotides long. RefSeq lists it as uncharacterized. Lineage: Eukaryota; Metazoa; Arthropoda; Insecta; Hymenoptera; Formicidae. The record is from RefSeq and is a predicted model, not a curated record.